RNAcentral lists this long non-coding RNA (1323 nucleotides) under Brassica napus (rape). RNAcentral describes it as "long non-coding RNA (BNAP_LNC007698)". Lineage: Eukaryota; Viridiplantae; Streptophyta; Magnoliopsida; Brassicales; Brassicaceae. The record is from RNAcentral.
ACCAUAUAAACAAUGUCUACACCGACCUCCACGAUGAGUUGCUGAGGCACAAUGAUCCAAAGGCCAAGCUUUUCACCAAAAGCUUCUUGACCUAGCUCGUGAUAUCUAUCAAACCUCUUCCCAGGUACAAUCUCGUGCAUCUCCACCAUUUGCCACAGUGUGUACAAAGUUAUCACCCAUGACAUUAUCAUCAACGUCACGCCAGGUCCCCUUAUUAAAAUGUCCCAAAACAUUAGCUAGAUAUCAAAUAUAUAAUGAAUACAAGUCAAAAAAAUGAAUCGUUAUGAACUAAAGUACCAUCCGAGAUUGGACAUGGCGUAGGGCAAGCUGAGAACACCAGCACCAACCAUGGCAGUAACAUUGUGAAACGCAGAGUACCACCACUUGGCGUUUCUUGAGGAUGUGAUCGGUAACCAAUCGUCGACUUUCUUCUGCUUAGCCGCGGCAGUCUCACUCGCUGACGUUUCGUUAUUCCCCAUAUCGUUCUAUAAGGGACACUCUUUUUGAGAUAUAGAGAGGAGAAGAGAUAAGAGGAGAGGAGGCUAUUAAGAAGAUUUUAAGAUCAGAAUGAAGAUGAGAUGGUUAGGUAAUAUUUAAGAGUUGGAUGAAGACUCGAGAUUCUCUCACUUGAAGUUAUCUAACUUAAAUAUUCGACGAUUUAUCUUCUGUAAUAAAUAUAUUUCAGUUUCAAGUUGUUUAAAGUGUUACUAAUGUUGUGUGGUCUUUCUCCGUUAUAUAAGGCAACAACAGCCGAGAAAACUCAUGCUUAACUCGCGCCUGUACGUACACAAUGACUAAAUUACCCCGCUAGUUCUGUUUAUUCUCUCUUGUUUUGUAGGUUCUUUUAAAAAGAGUGUUUGCUAGUUCAUGCUUACUCUCUCAUUCAGAUCACCUGAUUUCAACGAGUAUCUAUUCUAUUAAAUUAGCAUCAUGACCAAUUGAUAAAUGUUAUGUCCAGUUAAUUAUUUAUAUGUAGUUUUGAUGUCUUUGCAAUCAGAGCAGAGGAGUUCAUGGACUUUCUGUAGAGAUUUCCCUCCAGUGACCAUAUAAACAAUGUCUACACCGACCUCCACGAUGAGUUGCUGAGGCACAAUGAUCCAAAGGCCAAGCUUUUCACCAAAAGCUUCUUGACCUAGCUCGUGAUAUCUAUCAAACCUCUUCCCAGGUACAAUCUCGUGCAUCUCCACCAUUUGCCACAGUGUGUACAAAGUUAUCACCCAUGACAUUAUCAUCAACGUCACGCCAGGUCCCCUUAUUAAAAUGUCCAAAAACAUUAGCUAGAUAUCAAAUAUAUAAUGAAUACAAGUCAAAAAAAUGAAUCGU